AUUGGCUUUCGUCUCCCACCAUCAGAAUCCGAAUAGCGGCUCCUAGAGCCAAACCACAUUUUACACAUUAAGAAACUGUUUCUGGUAGUGUCGCUGGUACUAAGACAGGAUAAACAAUAUCGUGCCCUCCUGGUCACUGUUUUCAAACUGAAGAAGUUUAAAUGGUCCUUCAAGAAAGCAAACCAGCGAGAAAUAAUUUCCUUAUGUUUUAUUUUAAAUAAUGUGUAGAUGAUAAAGCUCUUUCCUCUUUGAAAUAAGACGAACACAAUUCCGAUUAAAUCGACGGAGAACUCACUUGACAUGCAUUUCACGGACCUCCACGGACUACUCCAAUAACAUAAGCCUGGCCUGUGGAGAGCAAACCCACCCAGCCAUCCACCCACCCACACAGUGUGAAAUCUACACCCCCUCAAGGAGAGCAGUGAGGUCACAGAAGACGAAAGCACCAUUGUGCAGUCAGAGGGAUGGAGGACAGGAGGCACCUGCCACCAGAUGGAGGUGGCAAUGCCAAACGUUCUGCCUCAGCCAAUUGUGACACAGAGGAUAGAGCGGUCAGGAAGGAGCAGGGUGACCCUGAGACCUCCACACAAAUGUGUGUGAGAAAAGACGAUCUCUCCGAUGUUCCUCGCAAGGUGCCUCGUUUCCAGUAUGUGGAUUUCCCUUCCCUGCACCAGUGCAUCCAACAGCUUUCUGUGCCUCCACUGAACGGCUGGCUGGGAUCCUGCUCGUUGGCAAAGGCACCAAAGUACAGGCCUGCCAGUCCUAAGGAAAAGGUGCCCAAGUUUAAAUACGUGGACUACCCAUCUCUCCACCACUGCAUUCAGCAGCUGUCUGUGCCUCCAUUGGAAAACUGGAGUGCAGGGCUGGUCAGGUUUAAUGUAGACGGGAAACAGGACGGCUCUGGGUCACAGAAGAGGCCCACUCAACCUGGGACUGUGAAGAAUAACAUAAGUAAUGAGGCAGGAGAUCAAAACAAGGAGGACAGGAGUAGAGUUAUAUCAUUUUCUUUCCCAAGAGACACACACAACUCAGUCUCAGGCAAGGAGGAGAGGCCUCAACACGACUACACCUCAGAGGUGCCACAGAGGUUAGAGAAAGAUAACGCACCUCUAAGGUCCCGUGCUACUAAACCAGAUGCUGCUUUUCAAUCAGAUUGCAGAUCAAGAGCAGAAUCUGGUUCUGGAUCUCGUAGCGAUGCAGCAGUGGUGAGAAACGACAGACCGUCGGUUAUUAACAUGGUACACACGGAUAAGCAGAGGCACUGGACAAUGGCAGAUCACCUGGAAGAACAACUGAACUCUCCAGAUUCAGUCGGAAGGGUACCAUGGAAAACCAUCCCGGAGUCAGUCUGCCCAUUCUGCCAACAGAUGUUCACAAACCCCGAGCAGUUCAGGGCUCAUCAGCGGAGCCAUAGAGAUAAGAGACCAAACUGACAUGCAGAAGUACUGAGUGAGAACUGCUUUUGGCAAACAGUCAAUGCCACACCAUAUGGAAUCGUAUCAUCAGAGGCCUUCUUGUGUUGUGACUGGCUAUAGUGGCAUUGCUGGCAGGACUAUAGGGAGAUCGAAGACACAUUAAGCACAUUAGACAGUUUGGGUUCAGACCUUAGGGAGAAUGCAAGACUUUGUCUUGACUGAUGUUGUGAAGUCUAAAAAGGCAGAACUGGACAGACAGAAACACACAAGCAUACAAUAUGCAUGUACUUGCGAGAGUGCCAGCACACACACACACACACACACACACACACACACAGAGUAUCCUAUUCAUGAUUCAGAAGAGGUCAAUAUUUACUGCCCCACAUAAGGACCAUCAGACAUCACACACACACACACACAGACACACAGAGUAUCCUAUUCAUGAUUCAGAAGAGGUCAAUAUUUACUGCCCCACAUAAGGACCAUCAGACAUAAUGAGUUUUCGGCUCAAGACGGGAUUAGAACCAGAUUUAUAGUCUCUUCCACACAUAUACCAGCGUGUUUACAGGGGUGGGUGAAGCUCGAUGGACUGGUGCGUAAGAAGAUGAAUUUUAUUACAUAUGUGUUCCCCACACUGUGUGCAUGGUGGCAGGUUAAAUAUUUAGCUUUGGGUGCCUACCAAAUAAUGGCUAUUGUUAAUGCUGCACAAACAAACAGGCUUGAUAAUAAUGAUUUGUUACAUUAGCUUUUUAUCAUUUUGUACUUUUUAUGUUUUUGGAAAUUAAUGUCUAGUGGCUUCAAGCUAGUAGAUUUAAAUCUUCAAAAUGUAC
Long non-coding RNA from Sinocyclocheilus anshuiensis, 2245 nucleotides. The record is from Ensembl. Lineage: Eukaryota; Metazoa; Chordata; Actinopteri; Cypriniformes; Cyprinidae.